This 90-nucleotide transfer RNA is filed under the name Candidatus Neomicrothrix parvicella. RNAcentral describes it as "tRNA-Ser". It matches the Rfam family "tRNA". From Rfam's summary of the family: Transfer RNA (tRNA) molecules are approximately 80 nucleotides in length. The record is from RNAcentral. RNAcentral also lists the same sequence under 3 other names. Lineage: Bacteria; Bacillati; Actinomycetota; Acidimicrobiia; Acidimicrobiales; Microthrixaceae.
GGAGAGUUGCCAGAGCGGACGAAUGGGACGGUCUCGAAAACCGUUGAAUGCGCAAGCAUUCCAAGGGUUCGAAUCCCUUACUCUCCGCCA